CCUACGGGGGGCAGCAGUGAGGAAUAUUGGUCAAUGGACGAGAGUCUGAACCAGCCAAGUAGCGUGAAGGAUGACUGCCCUAUGGGUUGUAAACUUCUUUUAUAUGGGAAUAAACUGUUCCACGUGUGGGAUUUUGUAUGUACCAUAUGAAUAAGGAUCGGCUAACUCCGUACCAGCAGCCGCGGUAAUACGGAGGAUCCGAGCGUUAUCCGGAUUUAUUGGGUUUAAAGGGAGCGUAGAUGGGUUGUUAAGUCAGUUGUGAAAGUUUGCGGCUCAACCGUAAAAUUGCAAUUGAUACUGGCAGGCUUGAGUACAGUUGAGGUAGGCGGAAUUCGUGGUGUAGCGGUGAAAUGCUUAGAGAUCACGAAGAACUCCGAUUGCGAAGGCAGCUUACUAAGCUGCCACUGACAUUGAUGCUCGAAAGUGUGGGUAUCAAACAGGAUUAGAUACCCUAGUAGUC
This 460-nucleotide ribosomal RNA is filed under the name uncultured bacterium. Its description in RNAcentral is "partial 16S ribosomal RNA". It matches the Rfam family "Bacterial small subunit ribosomal RNA", at positions 338 to 795 of the family's 1533-position model. The record is from RNAcentral.